GACGAACGCUGGCGGCGUGCUUAACACAUGCAAGUCGAGCGGUAAGGCCUCUUCGGGGGUACACGAGCGGCGAACGGGUGAGUAACACGUGGGUGACCUGCCCUCAGCUCUGGGAUAAGCCUGGGAAACUGGGUCUAAUACCGGAUAUGACCUUUCCUCGCAUGGGGUUUGGUGGAAUGUUUUUUCGGCUGGGGAUGGGCCCGCGGCCUAUCAGCUUGUUGGUGGGGUGAUGGCCUACCAAGGCGACGACGGGUAGCCGGCCUGAGAGGGCGACCGGCCACGCGGGGACGGAGACACGGCCCAGACUCCGACGGGAGACAGCAGGGGGGAAUAUUGCGCGAGGGGCGGAAGCAUGACGCAGCGACGCGGGGGGGGGGAUGACGGCCGUCGUGUAGUAAGCCUCUGUCGGCCCCGACGAAUGUGUACGGUAGGGGUAGAAGAAGCAACGGCCAACUACGUG
RNAcentral lists this ribosomal RNA (460 nucleotides) under uncultured bacterium. Its description in RNAcentral is "partial 16S ribosomal RNA". It matches the Rfam family "Bacterial small subunit ribosomal RNA", at positions 28 to 507 of the family's 1533-position model. The record is from RNAcentral.